GCAAUCGUCGCUUAGCUUGGUAGAGCGCCGGAUUGCUAAUCCGGUGUCCAACGGACUCGAGGGUUCGAAUCCCUCCGAUUGCG
RNAcentral lists this transfer RNA (83 nucleotides) under Promethearchaeota archaeon. RNAcentral's name for it is "Candidatus Lokiarchaeota archaeon (permafrost metagenome) tRNA-Ser". It matches the Rfam family "tRNA". Rfam says of the family: Transfer RNA (tRNA) molecules are approximately 80 nucleotides in length. Their secondary structure includes four short double-helical elements and three loops (D, anti-codon, and T loops). Further hydrogen bonds mediate the characteristic L-shaped molecular structure. tRNAs have two regions of fundamental functional importance: the anti-codon, which is responsible for specific mRNA codon recognition, and the 3' end, to which the tRNAs corresponding amino acid is attached (by aminoacyl-tRNA synthetases). tRNAs cope with the degeneracy of the genetic code in two manners: having more than one tRNA (with a specific anti-codon) for a particular amino acid; and 'wobble' base-pairing, i.e. permitting non-standard base-pairing at the 3rd anti-codon position. Lineage: Archaea; Promethearchaeati; Promethearchaeota. The record is from RNAcentral. RNAcentral also lists the same sequence under 2 other names.